UUCGAUUUUCGCGCGUAAAAUUAAAAUGAAUAAAAAUAAAUUGAAGUAAACCACAUCGCUUCAACUAAUCAAAAAGGCCCAGUAACGAAACGAGUCAGUGCGCAUCAUAAUGCGCAUGGCAGUAGUUCAUAGUUGAAAAUCGUGGUGCCGGCUGGUCACGUUUUGUUCUGAAGUGCGAAAUACUUAAAAUUCUUACCGAUAGGAUAUGAUAUUAUAAUUAUUAUUUAUAUUUAACAAUAAGUUUUAAUAAGUUUUGUAUAAUAUGCAUUUGUUUGAUCAUUAUUAUAGCAGAAUUGAAGAUUUUUGAUGAAGAUGACGAAGGAUAAAGAUCAAUUAUCAUUUCAUUGGAACUUCGAAGACAAGAUGGCUUGAAAAAUUUCUCAUCGAGUAAAUCCCAUGAACCAUAAUGUCAUUGAUGGCAGAUUCUACGCAUCUAAUGAAUCGAAGCUCUAAAAAUAUCCCAGGAAUAUACAAUUUAUAUGUGAAAUUUAUUAUACCAAGGAAAUAAUUAAGAAGGAAACUUUCUUCUCUUCAAAACACUAUCUUCAUUCAACGAAUAAAUAAAUAAAUAAUCUAACUUUGAAAAUCAAUUUAUAUUAUCAGAGAUGACAAUCGACUGUGAAAUGUAGAAAUAACGAUCGUUGCGGUCGCAUUGAUACUUGGACGAAUAGCGAAGCUGCAUAACAGAGCCUCAAAAGACGGUUAAUUGGGGAAGCGCGUAGAGGGGUUGCAACAGGGUGCACGAGUCCUCCUUCGUUGGCUCGAGAACCGAGCAGAUCCUGACCUGGACAUCAAAGCCGGGGCUUAAAGCGACGUAACCGUUCGCCUGCAGCGGGCUUAAGGGGUGAAUUUCACCCCUCAUUGCGACGCCACGGAUAUCCCAGCCUUACUGACCGUCGGCUGAACGCGUCCAGGAAAUCCGGCAGAGGGUGGAGAAACAGAUACCUCGAUUGUGGCCAAUCCAGAGAGAAAUUCAGUCGAUGUUGUCGAUAGAAAUAUGUUUAAAAGAAGUUUCUCGAUUGAGACUGUGUUGAGUGUCUCUGGUGGAAGAAAUAAUGUGUAAGGUGAAAAUCGAAAAAGAUUAUUCGGAUUAUUGAUAAGGUCUUUUUUUAAAAAAAAAACGAAUUUAAUUAUAUUAUUCGAAUUUUUAAUAUAGAAGAAUAAUUUUAACAUAGUGUGAAUAUAUUUGGAAGAAAUUUCUAUAAUGGAUUGUGGUUUCGAUGGUUCGAUGGUUCGAUAUGUAAAGAUAUGUAAAAUUAAUAAAAAUUAUUGAUGAAGAUUUUAAAAAUAUA
Apis cerana (Asiatic honeybee) is the source of this 1292-nucleotide long non-coding RNA. RefSeq lists it as uncharacterized. The record is from RefSeq and is a predicted model, not a curated record. Lineage: Eukaryota; Metazoa; Arthropoda; Insecta; Hymenoptera; Apidae.